AUGAUUUUGUUCCUCAUGUUUGGACCAGUUGAAGGGAGAGUUGGCGUUUAUCUUGGAGAGUUGGCGUCCAUCUUGGCUUGUCCAGAAGGAAUAUAUUUUAUACAGGCUCAAUUUGUAUGGGUAGAUUGCUUAAGAAACAGGUUCGGAUCAACAACCCAACUGAUCGCUUACCUUUCUUUACAACAAGGCCUAUUUGACAAGGAGUAAUGGUUGUAAUAUGCUUUAAAAUAUUCUCUUUAAUAAGUUUCUCAACAAUUUUGUCUAUAUCAAGUUUUGCAUAAAGUUUUACACAA
Lactuca sativa (garden lettuce) is the source of this 293-nucleotide non-coding RNA. The record is from RefSeq and is a predicted model, not a curated record. NCBI's taxonomy places the organism in Eukaryota, Viridiplantae, Streptophyta, Magnoliopsida, Asterales, Asteraceae.